GGCAGGAGGAAGUUCAGGCAGAGACUGAGCAAAGAGACCGAAUGUCCUUAAUAUCACCCACCCGGGCUUUUACUCUCCCUGCCUUUCUUUGGAUGUGUGGGAGGUGCACCAGCUAGGGCAGAAGUCCUGGCUUAAAACUGUGGUCUCUUAGCUCCGGGGGUCAUCCCUGACAUUCUUCUGCCUCCAGGCAAAGCCCCACUUCUCCCGCAUUUUCAAAGCAGAAAGAAGGGAAGGCCCUGGGAAAGUGGGGCUCCAGGAGGCUGAAGAUGACAGUCCCUCUCCUAGCUGGGGCAGCUGGAAGAGGAAAACACAGCUGGCCAGCGCCCCUCCACCCCCAACACCACACACGGCUAGCACUGGCCCUGCUCUGGGGGAAGUGCUCAGGCUCUGGGGGACAAGC
Molecule: long non-coding RNA, 400 nt
Organism: Lemur catta (Ring-tailed lemur)
Lineage: Eukaryota; Metazoa; Chordata; Mammalia; Primates; Lemuridae
Exons: 3
Source: RefSeq, a predicted model, not a curated record